Long non-coding RNA from Oryza sativa Japonica Group (Japanese rice), 559 nucleotides. RefSeq lists it as uncharacterized. Lineage: Eukaryota; Viridiplantae; Streptophyta; Magnoliopsida; Poales; Poaceae. The record is from RefSeq and is a predicted model, not a curated record.
GACUCAACUAGAGCAAAUAACUCAUAUCCGUAGAGCAAAUAACUCAUAUUCCUAGAGUUUAUCAUUGGUGUAAGCUUCAAUAGGUUAGUGCGCUUGGCGAAUUCACAGGCCCUAUCUUGUGGUAUGAACUGGGUACGCGAUGAUUUGCACUGCGUAUUGGGGGCUUACCAUAAGAUAAUGCCAUGAAUUUGUCAAGCGUUCAAACCCACUGAAAUGUUGUGUGAAGGUAAAUAUUUCAAAGUGUUCAUGAAGAAAAGGCAGGUGAAUGUCGCUCGCGGACAGACCUACGGACCACCUCAACACCGCUGAGAUCAACGUGGCCGUAGUUUUGGGUCGCUGAGUUACUGGUGGCGAUUCAUCAAGCUGUGACGGUCCUAUCUCGUGUUGUGCUGUUGACGACCCCCCACCGUAGCUAUAUGGUUCUCCGUAGGACUAUGUGCUGCCAGCAUAUCCCAUCAUUUGUUCAGGGUUGUACAUUCCUACAAAACAUUGAAUGCAAAGUUGUAGCGUACACACAUAAUGGAAAUAAAAUAUUUUGUAGUAAAUUAUAAUUUGUACC